Molecule: ribosomal RNA, 399 nt
Filed under: Sordariomycetes sp. genotype 649 JMUR-2016
Lineage: Eukaryota; Fungi; Ascomycota; Sordariomycetes
Description: eukaryotic LSU rRNA
Rfam family: Eukaryotic large subunit ribosomal RNA
Source: RNAcentral
GGGUCCGAGUUGUAAUUUGUAGAGGAUGAUUUUGGCGAGGCGCCUUCCGAGUUCCCUGGAACGGGACGCCAUAGAGGGUGAGAGCCCCGUCUGGUUGGAUGCCGAGCCUCUGUAAAUCUCCUUCGACGAGUCGAGUAGUUUGGGAAUGCUGCUCUAAAUGGGAGGUAUAUGUCUUCUAAAGCUAAAUAUUGGCCAGAGACCGAUAGCGCACAAGUAGAGUGAUCGAAAGAUGAAAAGCACUUUGAAAAGAGGGUUAAAUAGUACGUGAAAUUGUUGAAAGGGAAGCGUUUGUGACCAGACUUGGGCCCGGUUAAUCAUCCAGCGUUCUCGCUGGUGCACUUUGCCGGCCCAGGCCAGCAUCAGUUCUCGCCGGGGGAUAAAGGUUUCGGGAAUGUGGCU